Non-coding RNA from Cicer arietinum (chickpea), 1758 nucleotides. NCBI's taxonomy places the organism in Eukaryota, Viridiplantae, Streptophyta, Magnoliopsida, Fabales, Fabaceae. The record is from RefSeq and is a predicted model, not a curated record.
AAAUAAAAGGCACGAACGGCUAAGAUGUGAUCGUUCUUUGGCGGUGCACGUGUCACCACAUGACAUUGCCUUCUUUUCUUUUUGUUCUUCUUUUGCUUUUGCUUUGAAUUUGAGUGUUCGAUGAAAUUCUCCCUCACAAUCUCGAGAUUUAGAACAUCGUCUUCCAUUCUUCGCAUCUCUCUCUAUUUGCUCCUCUCAGGGAAAAAAUGAGUGGCCGAUCAAGUCGCACAUUAUAUGUUGGCAAUCUUCCUGGUGAUAUUCGCAUGAGAGAAGUGGAGGAUCUUUUCUACAAGUAUGGCCCUAUCGUUGACAUUGAUUUGAAGAUCCCUCCAAAACCACCAGGUUAUGCUUUUGUCGAGUUUGAGGAUGCUCGUGAUGCUCAAGAUGCGAUUUACUAUAGAGAUGGUUACGAUUUUGAUGGUUAUCGAUUACGAGUUGAACUUGCACAUGGUGGACGCAGAAAUUCAUCAUCUGUGGACCGAUACAGUAGGCAUAGCGGUAGUAGUGGUAGUCGUGGAGUUUCUAGGCGAUCUGACUAUCGUGUUCUGGUGACUGGAUUACCUCCUUCUGCUUCAUGGCAAGACCUGAAAGAUCACAUGCGUAAAGCUGGUGAUGUGUGUUUUUCUCAAGUGUUCCGUGAGCGUGGAGGCUUGACCGGGAUAGUUGAUUAUACCAAUUAUGAUGAUGUGAAAUAUGCUGUGAGGAAGCUUGAUGACUCGGAAUUUCGAAAUGCAUUUUCUCGGGCAUACAUACGGGUGAGGGAAUAUGAUCGGAGUUAUUCUAGAAGUCCCAGUCGUGAUUCAAGGAGGAGCUAUUCUCGAAGUCGCAGCCCAUAUAUAUCACGAAGUCGAAGCCGUAGUCUAAGUCAUAGCUACAGUGGCAGGAGCAGAAGUUUGUCUCCAAAAGCAAAACACUCUCGGCGCUCAUUAUCUCUUUCAAGACUUAUCAGCAUAGUUCUUCAUAUGUGGAAACGUGGAGAGGGUUGAUGAUAAAGUUGUCUUCAGCAUGGCCGCUAGUUAUACUAUGUUCAUUAGGGUUGACUCUCUUGUUUUCUAGACAUGGCCUUUUGCGGCGACCUGGGAACUGCAUGUUAGGAUCUUGAUGGCAUGUGGUGCUCAAACGCCUGCAACUUUGUGGUAUGAGACUGGAUGACAGUAGAUGGAUGAAUUGCAAUCUAAAAGCUGGAUCACUAUGAACAUAAUGCUAUUGAUCCCAGUCGAGAUCUAGGUCUCUGAGUUCAUCUCCUCGACCUCGACGUCACCAGAGUCGCAGUCCUAGCCAAAGUCCAAGGAGUUUGUAAAAAUCUCAUUUGGCUUAAGUGAGAUCUGCAUGCAUGAAAUCAAUGUGUUUAAUCCGGGGAGACCACUGCUGAACAUGCAUUUUCAUUCUGUGCUACAUCUAAGCUCCAAUAUAGCUCCAUCUAGUUUUGUAUUUGAACUUUAAAUUUUAUAGGUGAAACUAUGAAACAAACCUUUAGUUAGCUUCAAAAAAAGAAACCUUUAUAGUGCAUUUAAAUUUAUAUUGAUGAUUAGAACGAAUUGAAAUGAUAUUGUAUUAUCAACUCUAUGACUAGGUUAUGUUACAUGCCUUUGGCGUUUAGUAAUUUAAAUAAACCUGCCAAAUAGGAUUGGCAUAAAUAUCGGCUUAGCUUAUGCAUUUCAAGUGAUUGUAUAGGAUUUUUCAUGUUGUUAAAGUUCAUCAGGAAACUCAACCGAAAAUCUUUGGUGGGUAACACACAAUCUGAUUAGUCAUUUGUCU